GAGUCAAGAUUCAUUUCAUCAGUAUCACCACACGGAUUUGACUGCCAGCUACCAUUUAGCACUCACAGAUGGGUCCUUCCCUCAGCUCCCCGUGCUGCCCAACACCCUGCUCCUGUGGUCUGGGCUGCCACUCAAAGCCAAGAGUAGCAAAAGGCACCUUCCAUUCCCACUAGAAAGAGAGAUCAGUCUCUAAAUGGGAAUCUCCUGUGCUUCCUCAUCAGCAUGAAGUGCCUGGAAGCCUUGGAGGAAAGGAUUAACCCAUAGGCCCUUAUUCCCCAGGGGUACUACUCUGAGCCAAGAGCCCAGCAGCUAUGAGUGUGUGACAACAGCAAACUGCAGGCUUUAUCUCAGAGCUAAGAGUGGGCCCUGGAGCCCUUGGUUCCAAUGUCCAUCAUUGGUUAUGUGUUGUGUGGAGAUGUGGCCUGCAGUAAAAGCCUUUGCACAGCAAGAUGAAAGACUGCAUGUUUGUUGGUCCAGCAGCUGCUGGCCAACGCACAUCUGUUAAAGCCCAAGAUCAAGGAGCACAUUGCAAAACCCUCACUAUGCUGUUCUGUGAUCCACACAGCAAAGACCCUCCCACCCUUCCCCUAAUGUUACUGAGGGAUGCAGAACUUCUAACAGCUUUAGCAGCAACUUACAGGAAGUGCUGGAAUAAAGAUCAUCACGUAGACCUGAGUUAACCUGGAAAGACAGUUGUUUCCUCAGUUAAUAAUAGAGCAAAGCAAGAACCAAGCCAAGCAGCUUGCACUCAAGCUCCACAGAGCCUUGAUUCCAACACCACAUGGCAACCCACCCACAGCCAAAUGCCUCACCCAGAAGGGCUUUAUCUGACUGCUGACCUGGCGACCUCAGGGUCCUGUCGGAGGAGCAGGAGGAUCUGCUCGGUGUUGACGAAGAGCGCCCAGCAAGGGAAGCAGCACAGCAGCAGGAUGAGGAUACCCCUCUGCAGGAUGGUGCCCACCUGCUUCAGGUUCUUGCCACCAUAUGUCUGAGUCAGGAGAGAGGACCAAGGUGAGGAUGCAUAGUGAGGGAACAUAAAAACUCCCAAUGCUUUUCCACACUUCUGUACAGCUGUGGAAAGCUCUCCUCCCAAACUGCAAUGUCCUCUCCUCCUGCAGAGACAUCAAGUCCAGCUUGUUCCUCCCCAGGGGCUACAGCAAGGCCUAACAAUGCUGUAGCAGGGAUUGCAUGCCAGACCUCGUUUCCCCUGACCAAGAGGAUGGCCUUCUUACAAGCAUCCACAGCACAGAGUCAUGGCACAGCUAGAACCAGAUAGUAGGAGUUAGAGAUAUUUAUACCCACUGAGGGGUGGGCAUGGCUGGGGACCAUGCCCACGGUCUGCUUAUGCUCCUUUCCACCCAGCAGCUGACAAGCCAAGAGCCCAGCACUGCUGGAGAACCAGCUCCUAUGGGAUCAGAGGAAGAACAGAACAAACCCUUCUCCUCUCCAGUCCUCCUGCCAGGCCCAGGCAUGUUUGACCUGCUGCUUGUCCCAAGCUGGCUCUCAAAUGGGCAUCCCGAAUCCAUGAUUCUACUGCAUACAGCCAAACAUCCCCCAUCAACAAGAGCCCUGCAAGUGCCUGUGUGGGUUAACCUCAGCCUGGUCACCCC
Long non-coding RNA from Pezoporus flaviventris, 1610 nucleotides. RefSeq lists it as uncharacterized. The record is from RefSeq and is a predicted model, not a curated record. NCBI's taxonomy places the organism in Eukaryota, Metazoa, Chordata, Aves, Psittaciformes, Psittacidae. The transcript has 4 exons.